Nicotiana tabacum (common tobacco) is the source of this 792-nucleotide long non-coding RNA. RefSeq lists it as uncharacterized. NCBI's taxonomy places the organism in Eukaryota, Viridiplantae, Streptophyta, Magnoliopsida, Solanales, Solanaceae. The record is from RefSeq and is a predicted model, not a curated record.
AUUGAAGUUUCUAGAAGCUCCGAUCCUUUGAGAACGUAAUCGUGACCGUUCGUUGGAUGAAUCAAUUCGUUCUCCGAUAAAUCGUGCCACACGUAUCCAUUUUUAUAGCUCCUAAACUAAAGUACCGCUUGCAAGACCAGGAGAACAAAUAAGCCAUGCCUUUUCCUCUCAUCAAUAUAGUGUUAUAUCAAUUACCUAUGAGAUAGAGUCCAUCAGAGGAAGAGAACGGAACUUCAAUGAAAUGAGGAUGCUCAAGUUGGCCAUUUCUGCACAGAUAAUAAAUAACAGGGACAGUUUUGAAAGCCUUAGGUUUUGGUUCAAUCCAAAUCAUGUUUCUCUCAGGAGAAUUGAUCUCCCUAUGAUUCCAUUUCUUAGGGAUCAAAAGCUCAGUGCUUGAUCGGGAAUUGGAACUCGUUGCGACUGCCAUCGAUCUCUUUAGUUUGAUUGGAAUUUCAACUCAGUACCUUUUCGAGUGAGAUUUUGAGAAGAAUUGCUCUUCAGUUGUAAGUUAUAGAUUGUAGUUUAGCGGGAACAUGCAAUUGAAUAUAAAUAUAAGAUUGAGGGGUGGCGGGUAAUGAAAAUCAAGUCCGUGAGAGGGAUAUCAAGUCUCAAAAAAAGAGUGCCGUGAAUGAGGGGAGUUGAAUUUGAUGGGAUUUGAUGUGUUAGUUUAGUUGUAGUCUCAAAGUUCAGAAUUCAAGAAGUCUGUAUUGUGGGACAUGUGAUGUCUGUAUUAGUUAGAAGCUCUUUGCUUCUUCAGAUUGUUUAAUGAUUUGCAUCCCCCUCUUCACCAUA